GGGGAUGUAACGGGUUCGACGGGGAUACUGAAGCUUAAACAGCGGGCAGUGGCGGAAUCCACUUUAAAAGUCCGAAUUUUUAAAAUUAAACGCUAACGAUAGAGUAGCACUUGCUGCCUAACUGAUGGCAGCCGUUCUGCCGCGGAGGACUGCGGCUGCGGACAGAGCGUCGAUUAGCAGUGCACAUGAACGGAGUAAGCUUUGCCUCCGUCAGGAAUUUAUGAAGCUACCGAGCUUUGCAGUUUGUUUAUGGGCUGCACUGUGAGGGAAUUCCGACCAUAAACUGCGCCCGGAGAAAUUUUUGUGAAUGUAUUUUCGGACAGGAGUUCAACUCUCCUCAUCUCCACCA
This 349-nucleotide transfer-messenger RNA is filed under the name Clostridia. Its description in RNAcentral is "UMGS1540 sp900552775 Standard tmRNA". It matches the Rfam family "transfer-messenger RNA". From Rfam's summary of the family: Bacterial tmRNA, also known as 10Sa RNA or SsrA, is named for its dual tRNA and mRNA-like properties. Its role is to liberate the mRNA from a stalled ribosome. Lineage: Bacteria; Bacillati; Bacillota. RNAcentral also lists the same sequence under 1 other name. The record is from RNAcentral.